AGAGUUUGAUCCUGGCUCAGGAUGAACGCUAGCGGCAGGCUUAACACAUGCAAGUCGAGGGGCAGCGGGGUAGUGCUUGCACUACUGCCGGCGACCGGCGCACGGGUGAGUAACACGUAUGGAACCUGCCCGCAGCAGGGGGAUAAGCGGAAGAAAUUCCGUCUAAUACCGCGUAACAACGUUGGGAGGCAUCUCCCGAUGUUUAAAGAUUUAUCGGCUGCGGAUGGCCAUGCGGCGCAUUAGCUAGUCGGCGGGGUAACGGCCCACCGAGGCGACGAUGCGUAGGGGUUCUGAGAGGAAGGUCCCCCACACUGGUACUGAGACACGGACCAGACUCCUACGGGAGGCAGCAGUGAGGAAUAUUGGUCAAUGGCCGAGAGGCUGAACCAGCCAAGUCGCGUGAAGGAUGACGGCCCUACGGGUUGUAAACUUCUUUUGUCAGGGAGCAAUUGGGUCCACGUGUGGGCUUAGCAAGUGUACCUGAAGAAAAAGCAUCGGCUAACUCCGUGCCAGCAGCCGCGGUAAUACGGAGGAUGCGAGCGUUAUCCGGAUUUAUUGGGUUUAAAGGGUGCGCAGGCGGUCUGUUAAGUCAGCGGUCAAAGCCCGGGGCUCAACCCCGGCCCGCCGUUGAAACUGGCAGUCUCGAGUUGGAGAGAAGUAUGCGGAAUGCGCGGUGUAGCGGUGAAAUGCAUAGAUAUCGCGCAGAACUCCGAUUGCGAAGGCAGCAUGCCGGCUCCACACUGACGCUGAGGCACGAAAGCGUGGGUAUCGAACAGGAUUAGAUACCCUGGUAGUCCACGCAGUAAACGAUGAAUGCUGGCUGUCCGGGGGGAUUGACCCCUGGGUGGCGAAGCGAAAGCGAUAAGCAUUCCACCUGGGGAGUACGCCGGCAACGGUGAAACUCAAAGGAAUUGACGGGGGCCCGCACAAGCGGAGGAACAUGUGGUUUAAUUCGAUGAUACGCGAGGAACCUUACCCGGGCUCAAACGGGGAGUGACUCAGGCAGAGACGCCUGUUUCCCACGGGACACUCCCCGAGGUGCUGCAUGGUUGUCGUCAGCUCGUGCCGUGAGGUGUCGGCUUAAGUGCCAUAACGAGCGCAACCCCCGCGUGCAGUUGCUAACAGAUAACGCUGAGGACUCUGCACGGACUGCCGGCGCAAGCCGCGAGGAAGGCGGGGAUGACGUCAAAUCAGCACGGCCCUUACGUCCGGGGCGACACACGUGUUACAAUGGGUGGUACAGCGGGAAGCCAGGCGGCGACGCCGAGCGGAACCCGAAAUCCACUCUCAGUUCGGAUCGGAGUCUGCAACCCGACUCCGUGAAGCUGGAUUCGCUAGUAAUCGCGCAUCAGCCAUGGCGCGGUGAAUACGUUCCCGGGCCUUGCACACACCGCCCGUCA
RNAcentral lists this ribosomal RNA (1400 nucleotides) under uncultured bacterium. RNAcentral describes it as "16S ribosomal RNA". It matches the Rfam family "Bacterial small subunit ribosomal RNA". The record is from RNAcentral.